GAUGAACGCUGGCGGCGUGCCUAAUACAUGCAAGUCGAGCGAACAGACGAGGAGCUUGCUCCUCUGACGUUAGCGGCGGACGGGUGAGUAACACGUGGAUAACCUACCUAUAAGACUGGGAUAACUUCGGGAAACCGGAGCUAAUACCGGAUAAUAUAUUGAACCGCAUGGUUCAAUAGUGAAAGACGGUUUUGCUGUCACUUAUACAUGGAUCCGCGCCGCAUUAGCUAGUUGGUAAGGUAACGGCUUACCAAGGCAACGAUGCGUAGCCGACCUGAGAGGGUGAUCGGCCACACUGGAACUGAGACACGGUCAAGACUCCUACGGGAGGCAGCAGUAGGGAAUCUUCCGCAAUGGGCGAAAGCCUGACGGAGCAACGCCGCGUGAGUGAUGAAGGUCUUCGGAUCGUAAAACUCUGUUAUUGGGGAAGAACAAAUGUAUAAGUAACUAUGCACGUCUUGACGGUACCUAAUCAGAAAGCCACGGCUAACUACGUG
Molecule: ribosomal RNA, 497 nt
Filed under: uncultured bacterium
Lineage: Bacteria
Description: partial 16S ribosomal RNA
Rfam family: Bacterial small subunit ribosomal RNA
Source: RNAcentral